Molecule: long non-coding RNA, 444 nt
Organism: Bombus impatiens (common eastern bumble bee)
Lineage: Eukaryota; Metazoa; Arthropoda; Insecta; Hymenoptera; Apidae
Exons: 2
Source: RefSeq, a predicted model, not a curated record
CUUUGUAUUCUAUCUACGUGUUGUACGCUUCGAUGACCACGCGACCGCUGCCGAACCUCGCCGACUUUUGCCGAACGAGCAACUGAAUUUUGGUGCUUCGUACAGGCUUUUCCAAUUUUCCGAUUAAUGAAAUAUUUACAGCUGUCAUUGCUCGCUCACGUAUUCUAGGUUCUAGGAAUAUCGUAUAUGUCUUUUGGAAACUAGAGAUGCCAGUUCUGUUCCAGUUUCUCUUAUUUUACAGUGACAAAUAUCAAGGUAUGAAACUCGGUCGAUGGUACGAAUUUUAAAGGUAAAUUCACGUCAUUGAAAUACUUGGAUUUAUUACUGGAAGAAACUUCGUGCUCAGUCGGACAAAUAAAGAAUAUGAACUUAUGUUGGAACAUAGUGCCAUCUACCAGAGUCAAUAACAGCUGCGAGUUUUUGAAAAACUGCCGCUUUGGAAUU